AGCAGCCGCGGUAAUUCCAGCUCCAAUAGCGUAUAUUAAAGUUGUUGCAGUUAAAAGCUCGUAGUUGAAUUUCGGGAUCAAUUAAUCGGUCGUGCCUCUGGUACGCACUGGUUUUAUUGGUUUCUCCCUUCUGACGAACCAGGAUGUCAUUAAUUUGGUGUCUUGGAGAAUCAGGACUGUUACUUUGAAAAAUUAGAGUGUUUAAAGCAGGCUAACGCUUGAAUACAUUAGCAUGGAAUAAUGAAAUAGGACGUUUGAUCCUAUUUUGUUGGUUUCUAGGAUCGACGUAAUGAUUAAUAGGGAUAGUUGGGGGCAUUAGUAUUCAAUUGUCAGAGGUGAAAUUCUUGGAUUUAUUGAAGACUAACUACUGCGAAAGCAUUUGCCAAGGAUGUUUUCAUUAAUCAAGAACGAAAGUUAGGGGAUCGAAGACGAUCAGAUACCGUCGUAGUCUUAACCAUAAACUAUGCCGACUGGGGAUCGGAUGAUGUUAAUUUUUAAUGACUCAUUCGGCGCCUUACGG
Molecule: unclassified non-coding RNA, 520 nt
Filed under: uncultured Glomus
Lineage: Eukaryota; Fungi; Glomeromycota; Glomeromycetes; Glomerales; Glomeraceae
Description: SSU rRNA
Rfam family: Eukaryotic small subunit ribosomal RNA
Source: RNAcentral